UACAGAGGGUGCGAGCGUUAAUCGGAAUUACUGGGCGUAAAGGGCGCGUAGGCGGUUAAUUAAGUUGGAUGUGAAAUCCCUGGGCUUAACCUAGGAACUGCAUCUGAAACUGAUUAGCUGGAGUACAGUAGAGGGUAGUGGAAUUUCCGGUGUAGCGGUGAAAUGCGUAGAUAUCGGAAGGAACACCAGUGGCGAAGGCGGCUACCUGGACUGAUACUGACGCUGAGGCGCGAGAGCGUGGGGAGCAAACAGG
RNAcentral lists this ribosomal RNA (253 nucleotides) under uncultured bacterium. RNAcentral's name for it is "partial 16S ribosomal RNA". It matches the Rfam family "Bacterial small subunit ribosomal RNA", at positions 524 to 776 of the family's 1533-position model. The record is from RNAcentral.